Molecule: non-coding RNA, 71 nt
Organism: Araneus ventricosus
Lineage: Eukaryota; Metazoa; Arthropoda; Arachnida; Araneae; Araneidae
Source: the annotation of a GenBank genome assembly
GGGGUAUAAGCUCAGUGGUAGAGCAUUCGACUGCAGAUCGAGGGUCCCCUGUUCAAACCCGGGUGCUACCU